Molecule: ribosomal RNA, 253 nt
Filed under: uncultured bacterium
Lineage: Bacteria
Description: partial 16S ribosomal RNA
Rfam family: Bacterial small subunit ribosomal RNA
Source: RNAcentral
GACGUAGGGGGCCAGCGUUGUUCGGAAUUACUGGGUGUAAAGGGUUCGUAGGCGGUGUAGCAAGUCGGGAGUGAAAUCUCUGGGCUUAACCCAGAGGCUGCUUCCGAAACUGCUGUGCUUGAGUGUGGGAGAGGCGCGUGGAAUUCCCGGUGUAGCGGUGGAAUGCGUAGAGAUCGGGAAGAACACCAGUGGCGAAGGCGGUCUGCUGGGCCGUUGCUGACGCUGAGGCGCGACAGCGUGGGGAGCAAACAGG